RNAcentral lists this ribosomal RNA (840 nucleotides) under Acanthohelicospora aurea. Its description in RNAcentral is "LSU rRNA". It matches the Rfam family "Eukaryotic large subunit ribosomal RNA", at positions 75 to 934 of the family's 3401-position model. The record is from RNAcentral. Lineage: Eukaryota; Fungi; Ascomycota; Dothideomycetes; Tubeufiales; Tubeufiaceae.
UUGCCUCAGUAACGGCGAGUGAAGCGGCAAUAGCUCAAAUUUGAAAUCUGGCUCUUUCAGAGUCCGAGUUGUAAUUUGUAGAGGAUGUUUCGGCUUACGCCCCGGUCUAAGUUCCUUGGAACAGGACGUCACAGAGGGUGAGAAUCCCGUAUGUGGCCGGCGGCUUCCGCCAUGUGAAACUCCUUCGACGAGUCGAGUUGUUUGGGAAUGCAGCUCUAAAUGGGAGGUAAAUUUCUUCUAAAGCUAAAUACUGGCCAGAGACCGAUAGCGCACAAGUAGAGUGAUCGAAAGAUGAAAAGCACUUUGGAAAGAGAGUUAAAAAGUACGUGAAAUUGUUGAAAGGGAAGCGCUUGCGACCAGACUUGCCCGCGGAUGCUCAACCGGUCCUUCGGCCGGUGCACUCUUCCGCGGUCAGGCCAGCAUCAGUUCGGGCGGUUGGAUAAAGGCUUUGGGAAUGUGGCUCUCUUCGGGGAGUGUUAUAGCCCAUUGUGCAAUACAACCUGCCUGGACUGAGGCCCGCGCUUCGGCUAGGAUGCUGGCGUAAUGGUCGUAAGCGGCCCGUCUUGAAACACGGACCAAGGAGUCUAACAUCUAUGCGAGUGUUUGGGUGUCAAACCCGUGCGCGUAAUGAAAGUGAACGGAGGUGGGAACCUUUUGGGUGCACCAUCGACCGAUCCUGAUGUCUUCGGAUGGAUUUGAGUAAGAGCAUAGCUGUUGGGACCCGAAAGAUGGUGAACUAUGCCUGAAUAGGGUGAAGCCAGAGGAAACUCUGGUGGAGGCUCGCAGCGGUUCUGACGUGCAAAUCGAUCGUCAAAUUUGGGUAUAGGGGCGAAAGACUAA